GAUCCUGGCUCAGAUUGAACGCUGGCGGCAUGCCUUACACAUGCAAGUCGAACGGCAGGCACGGGAGCAAUCCUGGUGGCGAGUGGCGAACGGGUGAGUAAUAUAUCGGAACGUGCCCAGUCUGGGGGAUAACGUAGCGAAAGCUACGCUAAUACCGCAUACGAUCUAUGGAUGAAAGCGGGGGAUCGCAAGACCUCGCGCGAUUGGAGCGGCCGAUAUCAGAUUAGGUAGUUGGUGAGGUAAAGGCUCACCAAGGCGACGAUCCUUAGCUGGUCUGAGAGGAUGAUCAGCCACACUGGGACUGAGACACGGCCCAGACUCCUACGGGAGGCAGCAGUGGGGAAUAUUGGACAAUGGGCGAAAGCCUGAUCCAGCAAUGCCGCGUGAGUGAUGAAGGCCUUCGGGUUGUAAAGCUCUUUUACUCGGGACGAUAAUGACGGUACCGAGAGAAUAAGCCCCGGCUAACUCCGUG
RNAcentral lists this ribosomal RNA (472 nucleotides) under uncultured bacterium. Its description in RNAcentral is "bacterial SSU rRNA". It matches the Rfam family "Bacterial small subunit ribosomal RNA", at positions 15 to 507 of the family's 1533-position model. The record is from RNAcentral.